AUACGGAGGGUGCGAGCGUUAAUCGGAAUUACUGGGCGUAAAGCGCGCGUAGGCGGCUUUGUAAGUCGGAUGUGAAAGCCCAGGGCUCAACCCUGGAAUUGCAUUCGAUACUGCAGAGCUAGAGUAUGGUAGAGGGAAGUGGAAUUUCCGGUGUAGCGGUGAAAUGCGUAGAUAUCGGAAGGAACACCAGUGGCGAAGGCGACUUCCUGGGCCAAUACUGACGCUGAGGUGCGAAAGCGUGGGGAGCAAACAGGAUUAGAAACCCGAGUAGUCC
RNAcentral lists this ribosomal RNA (274 nucleotides) under uncultured bacterium. Its description in RNAcentral is "partial 16S ribosomal RNA". It matches the Rfam family "Bacterial small subunit ribosomal RNA", at positions 523 to 796 of the family's 1533-position model. The record is from RNAcentral.